ACCAACUUUUGGCACUCCAACUUCUUACAUGGUGAAUAAAUUCACCAUGUGGAAUUAUGGUGCAAGAGAGCCUUCACACAGAAGGACUCUCCCUCUUUUGCAUGCCAUAAAAAUUCCAUUAAAAUUUGGUGACAUAUCAAGGGAUUUUUGAUUUAUCAUUUAAGGCAACGCGUUAAGAUAAGUUCCUUCUUUAAGUAGGAUUCUCCAUCUUCACACAUGAAAAUGAAUGGGGCGGCAUUAAUAUUUUGGUAUGGCUUCUGGUGAGCACAGAGGAGUCCUUCUCCACUUGAAACUAUUUC
RNAcentral lists this long non-coding RNA (299 nucleotides) under Elaeis guineensis (African oil palm). Its description in RNAcentral is "long non-coding RNA (EGUI_LNC042126)". The record is from RNAcentral. Lineage: Eukaryota; Viridiplantae; Streptophyta; Magnoliopsida; Arecales; Arecaceae.